GGCGACCCAGUCAGGCGGGAGCAACCCGCCGAGUUUAGCAUAUCAUAUAAGCGGAAGGAAAGAAACUUACCAGGAUUCGCCCUAUAACGGCGAGCGAACCGGGAAGGAGCCCAGCUUUGAGAAUCGGGCGCCCUCGCGUCCGAAUUGUAGUCUAGAAGCGUCCUCAGCGGGCGGCCGCGGGCCCAGUCCCUGGAAAGGGGGCGACGGAAAGAGGGUGAGAGCUCCGUCGUGCCCGGACCUGUCGCACCACGAGGCGCUGUCUGCGAGUCCGGGUUUUGUUUGGGCAAAUGCAGCCCCAUCGGCGGUAAUAUUCCGUCCAAGGCCAAAUACGGGCGAGAGAGCCGAUAGCGAACAAGUACCCCUUUGCGAGGGAAAGAUGAAAAGGACUUUGAAAAGAGAGUCCAAAAGAGUGCUUGAAAUUGUUCGGGAGGAAGCGGAUGGGGCGGCGAUGCGCCCGGUCGAUGUGAACGGCGGCAAGCCGGUCCGCCGAUCGGCCUCGGGGCGCGGACCGACGCGGAUCGCAGCGUCCGGCCCAAGCCCGGGCUAUAGAAACGCCGCAGGAGACGCCGUCGCACGGCGAUCCGUGACAGCAGCGGCGCCGUCACGGCGUGCCCCCGGCACCAGCGCGCUCCUGGCGUCGCCGGCGGGCCUUCCCAUUCGGCCGCUUGAACACGGACCAAGGAGUCUAGACAUGUGGUGGCGAGUCAACGGCGAGUAAACCCGUAAGGGCGCAAGAAGCUGACUGGCGGGAUCCCCCGAGGGGUUGCACCGCCGACACGACUCGAUCUUCUGAGAAGGGUUCUGAGUGAGGCAUGCCUGUCGGGACCCGAAGAUGUGUGAACUAUGCCUGAGCGGAGGCGAAGGCAGAGGAAACUCGGUGGAAGGCCCGAGCGAUACUUGAAGUGUCAAUCGUUCGUCUGACUGGGUAUAGGGGCGAAAGAACUAAUCGAACCGUCUAGCUAGCUGGUUCCCUCCGAAGUUUCCCUCCGGAUAGCUGGAGCUCGGGCACAUUCUAUGGGGUAAAAGCAAUGAUAGUAGGCAUCGGGGGGCACCGCCUCGACCUAUUCUUCAAACUUUAAAUGGGUAGGACGGGCGGCUAGCUUCGCUGAGCGGCGCAAACGGAAUCGAGAGCUCCAAGUGGGCAUUUUGGUUAAGCAAACUGGCGAUGCGGGAUGGAACCGGAAGCCGGUUACGGUGCCUCAACUGCGCGCUUAACCCGAACCCACAAGGGUGUUGGUGAUUAGACAGCAGGACGGUGGUCAUGGAAGUCGAAAAUCCGCUAAGGAGUGGUGUAACAACUCACCUUGCCGAAUCAAACUAGCCCGCGAAAAUGAUUGGCGCUUAAGCGGCGCCGACCUAUACGCUCGGCCGUCGGGUGCAAGAGCCAGGCCCCCGAUGAGUGGAGGGGCGCGGCGGCCGCUGCCAAACCCGGGGCGCGAGCCGGGCGGAGCGGCCGCACGUGCAGAUCUUGGUGGUUAUAGCAAUAUUGCAAAUGAGAACUUGAAGGCGAAGAGGGGAAGGGUUCCCAUGUGAACGGCGACUUGCACAUGGGGUUAAGUUCCCGAUCUAAGAAGAACGGGGGAAGCCCGUCCGACAGCGCGUCGCCGCGGAGCUCGAAAGGGAAUCGGGUAAAAUUCCCCGAACCGGGACGCGGCGGCUGACGGCACGUUAGGGAGUCCGGAGACGUCGGCGGGGGCCUCGGAAGAGUUAUCUUUUUCUUUUAACGGCCCGCACCUGGAAACGAUCAGUCGAGGUAGGGUUCCAGCGGCCGGAAGAGCACCGCACGUCGCGCGGUGGUCCGGUGCGCCCCCGGCCGGCCCACGUGAAAUCGGAGGCCGAGUGCCUCCCGCCCCGGAAUCGUACUCAAAUAACCGCAUAGGUCUCCAAGGUGAACAGCCUCUGGCCAAUGGAAAAUGUAGGCAGGGAAGUCGGAAAAAACGGAUCCUAACCUCGGAAAAGGAUUGAGCUCUGAGGGCUGGCCCGGGGUUCCAAGUCCGAACCUUCGGCUGUCGGGGGACUGCUCGAGCUGCUCCCGCGGCGAGAGCGGGUCGCCGCGUGCGGCCGGGGGGAUCGGACUGGGAACGGCCCCUCCGGGGGCCUUCCCGGGCGUCGAACCAUCGACUCAGAACUGGUACGGACAAGGGGGAAUCCGACUGUUUUAAUUAAAACAGAAGCUUGCGAUGGUCCUGCGGAUGCUCACCGCAAUGUGAUUUUCUGCCAGUGCCUGAAUAUGUCAAAGUGAAGACAUUCAACCAGCGCGGGGUAAACGGCGGGAGUAACUAUGACUCUUUAAGGUAGCCAAAUGCCUGUCCAUCUAAUUAGUGUACGCGCAUGAUGGAUAACGAGAUUCCACUUCGUCCCUGUUACUAUUCCAGCGAAACCACAGCCAAGGGAACUGGGCCUUGGCGGAAUCAGCGGGGAAAGAAGACCCUGUUGAGCUUGACUCUAGUCCCGACUUUGUGAAAUGACUUGAGAGGUGUCAGGAUAAGUGGGAGCCGGAAACGGCGACGGUGAAAUACCACUACUUUUAACGUUAUUUACUUUUCGUGAAUCGGAGGCUGGGCAAGCCCUCUUCUUUGGACCCAGAGCCGCCGAGCGGCCGAGGUGAGAUAAAGCACAUUGUCCAGGUGGGAGGUUUGGCCUGCAGAGAGCACAUCUGUUAAGAUAAGCGGUUGUCCUUAAAAGAUGAACUCAAGAGAAAUACAGAAUCUCAGUAGAUAGAGAACCAAAGGGUAAAAGCUCGAUUAGAUUUCUGAAUUGUCCAGUAACGAUAACAGAUAGAGCGUAGGCCUAUAUGAUAAAUAAUAGACACAUAUCACGAGAAAUUAAAUGGCUAGAGGUGUCAGAAAAGUUAUCCACAGGGAUAAGGCUUGUGGCAGCCAAGCGUUCAUAGCGACGUUGCUUUUUGAUCCUUCGAUGUCGGCUCUUCCUAUCAUUGUGAAGCAGAAUUCACCAAGUGUUGGAUUGUUCACCCACCAAUAGGGAACGUGAGCUGGGUUUAGACCGUCGUGAGACAGGUUAGUUUUACCCUACUGAUGACCGCGCCGCGUCGCGAUGGUAAUUCAACCUAGUACGAGAGGAACCGUUGAUUCGCACAAUUGGUCAUCGCGCUUGGUUGAAAAGCCAGUGGCGCGAAGCUACCGUGCGCUGGAUUAUGACUGAACGCCUCUAAGUCAGAAUCCGGGCCAGAAGCGACGCCCGUGUCCGGCGCCCGCUUGCCGACCCGCAGUAGGGGCGGCACAUCCGGCCCCCAGAGGCACGUGCCGUUGGCGCAAGCCCCGCGGCGGAGAGCCGCGCGGGCCGCCUUGAAGUAGCUAUUCCACGGAGUCGGGCAGAAUCCUUUGGCAGACGACUUUAAAUACGCGCGGGGUAUUGUACAGUGCAGAGUGCCUUGCUGCCACGAUCCAGCAUGGAAUUCAGCCCUUUGUCGCUGCCGAUUGU
Molecule: ribosomal RNA, 3441 nt
Filed under: Hevea brasiliensis (rubber tree)
Lineage: Eukaryota; Viridiplantae; Streptophyta; Magnoliopsida; Malpighiales; Euphorbiaceae
Description: eukaryotic LSU rRNA
Rfam family: Eukaryotic large subunit ribosomal RNA
Source: RNAcentral